Long non-coding RNA from Oreochromis aureus, 693 nucleotides. NCBI's taxonomy places the organism in Eukaryota, Metazoa, Chordata, Actinopteri, Cichliformes, Cichlidae. The record is from Ensembl.
AUUCAGUCUGCAUCAGCAUGAAGAUGAACACCUAUGGCUCUCUCUUUGCCUUUUUUCUGGCGUCUAAUGUUGCUACAGGUUUGAUCCAUGAAGCUGUGGAAGUGGCCGAGAACCUCAUCAUCACUUGUCCUCUCAGUGUGGAGGGUAAAGUGACGUGGAGCAGAGAGAUACAUAGAAGGAAAGUUGACUUACUUACAUCUUAUGGUGACGCAGAAAUACGACACAUCCGUGAUGCGGACAGGUACAGUUCGUUUGCAGAUGGGUUCCUGCUAAUUGUUGGCACUUCUGUGUCAGACUCUGGAACAUACCUGUGUAAUAAUCAAGCAGCUGUGGAGCUGACAGUCAUCCCAUCAGGAACGACAAGACGCAUCAUUUCAGAGAAGACGACGAGCACUCUGCACUGUCCUCAUGAUGCUGAAGAGUCGCAUGUCCCAGUAUGGAGCAGAAAACUCAGAGGACAGCAGCGACACAUCAGCCCUCACUCUUUCACUGUGGACCAGAUGUUGAUCAUUACAGAUGUUCAGCUUGGUGAUUCGGGACUGUACUACUGUGAUGGGAAACCUGCUGUUUAUCUGGAUGUGAUCAAAGAUGAGAGAUCUGAGAGAGGUAUCUUCUAUGAAGUAGCUGAGGUGAUGCAGAAGGUCGUUUUGACUUGUCCUCACAUCGUGGAGGGUAAAAUAACGUGGAGCAAAG